This 717-nucleotide ribosomal RNA is filed under the name Streptomyces sp. YIM 56099. Its description in RNAcentral is "bacterial SSU rRNA". It matches the Rfam family "Bacterial small subunit ribosomal RNA", at positions 56 to 790 of the family's 1533-position model. Lineage: Bacteria; Bacillati; Actinomycetota; Actinomycetes; Kitasatosporales; Streptomycetaceae. The record is from RNAcentral.
UGCAAGUCGAACGAUGAAGCCCUUCGGGGUGGAUUAGUGGCGAACGGGUGAGUAACACGUGGGCAAUCUGCCCUUCACUCUGGGACAAGCCCUGGAAACGGGGUCUAAUACCGGAUAACACUCUGUCCCGCAUGGGACGGGGUUAAAAGCUCCGGCGGUGAAGGAUGAGCCCGCGGCCUAUCAGCUUGUUGGUGGGGUGAUGGCCUACCAAGGCGACGACGGGUAGCCGGCCUGAGAGGGCGACCGGCCACACUGGGACUGAGACACGGCCCAGACUCCUACGGGAGGCAGCAGUGGGGAAUAUUGCACAAUGGGCGAAAGCCUGAUGCAGCGACGCCGCGUGAGGGAUGACGGCCUUCGGGUUGUAAACCUCUUUCAGCAGGGAAGAAGCGAAAGUGACGGUACCUGCAGAAGAAGCGCCGGCUAACUACGUGCCAGCAGCCGCGGUAAUACGUAGGGCGCAAGCGUUGUCCGGAAUUAUUGGGCGUAAAGAGCUCGUAGGCGGCUUGUCACGUCGGAUGUGAAAGCCCGGGGCUUAACCCCGGGUCUGCAUUCGAUACGGGCUAGCUAGAGUGUGGUAGGGGAGAUCGGAAUUCCUGGUGUAGCGGUGAAAUGCGCAGAUAUCAGGAGGAACACCGGUGGCGAAGGCGGAUCUCUGGGCCAUUACUGACGCUGAGGAGCGAAAGCGUGGGGAGCGAACAGGAUUAGAUACCCUGG